GGAUCCUGCUCCUACCCAAAGAACCUCCUUUCUAAGAGGUAAUUCUCCCAGCAAAUAGCUUCCUCAGGGUGGUUUCCAGGUCAUGGGACCCAAGUGUAUCAGUGGUUCUUGUCUUAUAAUUCUGGUCUUCCUCUCCCAGAUGGGAAGACUUGUUUUCAGGAUGCUACCAUUGUCAGUGACAAUGUUGCUGUGGCCACUCCAUGGACGCUGGGUGGGAGGUGAUGGUGCUGAUGAUUAGUUAGACAUGACAAUUCCCAGCUGAGGGCUACUUGGAAUCUGGGAGGUUCAGGAUGAAGGGGUCAGGGCCUGCUGCUUGAUGAUUUAGUUGAUGUUUCUUACAGUCUCAAAGACAUAACUCUGGGAGUUCCCGUUGUGGCGCAGCGGGAAUGAAUCUGACUAGAAACCAUGAGGUUGCGGGUUUGAUCCCGGGCCUCACUCAGUGGGUUAAGGAUCUGGCGUUGCUGUGAGCUGUGGGAUAGGUCACAGACAAAGCUCGGAUUUGGGAUUGCUUUGGCUCUGGCGUAGGCCGGUGGCUACAGCUUCAAUUGGACCCCUAGCCUGGGAACCUCCAUAUGCUGUGUGUGCGGCCCUAAAAAAAAUGGACAAAAGACAAACAAAACAAAACAACUUACCUCUGGAGGUUCUGCUUCUUUCUACUUGCUUCACUGCCAAGUUGGUCCUGAGAAACAAGUUCAACAAAGGCUGAGGUGUUGGCUGUGGUUUGUUCCAGAGGCUUUCAUUUUGUCUUGGGUCUCUUGAAGCACUUCCAUGCACUAUACACUGUCCAUACUUGUUCUGCAGCUGCAGUUCAUAGCUUACCUGUCACGGGCACCUUGAAAAUCCCUAGAGGCUGGCCUAGCUUUACAAAUUAGCAAAGGACUAUUUCCAAAAAAUAUCCACAUUACAAAUGGAAAUUAUUUCUUUUCUGAUAAAAAUGAGAUAGUUCUUAAAAUUGGCUGAGUUUAUAGAUUUUGAAGAAAAAUUAUGAUGUAGCCGGCCUGAGAAAGACCUGUCCACAGAAGCCAUCUGGAGCUGGCCUGAGGAUAUUUUACUGGGAAAACUAGCCCAGCGUGCACAGUGCCACCUAGUGGUCAGUCUCCACCAGAAGGGUCUUCUGCAGGAUGUGUAACCACAGGGAAGGGGUGGAUCACAAGAGAGUAGAAACCCCUUUGGAAUGAUCCACAACAAAGUUCAGCCGCAACUGCUACACAUCUACAUCUUCUGUGUUUUUUGAGGUCUCGCCUCCUUUAGCUUACACUGUCCUCUUCUGUACAAUAAGGGCAACCAGGUGAACGUGACCAUGUUCUUUAUGUGGCUCAAAAUCCUCUCCCAAAGCUUCCCCUCCUACCUCCUCUUUCUCUACUUUCAAGUAAAGAGGAAAAUAAAAUAGAAGCUUUUAUUUUGAAAUGAGAAUUUAAUUCUUAAUUCACGCUAUUGGAGAAUGCUUGGAUAUAAGAUGCAUUUGGCAAAAGUGAGAUGCGUACAGACUGCAUAAUGAGGUUACACAAAAGCAUAUUUGGGAAAAAAUGCGAGAACAUUAAUUUUUUCUUGCUAAUUUUUUUCCUUGAAUUGUGAAAUCCACAUUAGAAAUGUGCAAAGUGGAAGAAGAAGCUUCACUUCUAUCACUCAGUGCUGUGAACAGGCUUCCACCUGCUACAGCUUUUGAUUCAUGUUGUUUCACACUUCAUUCAGUUGUUACCUUUGGCAGCUGGUGAUACAAUACCAUUUGCUUGGAAAUACAAUCAAUCAAGCAAGAAAAAAAAAAAGAAAAAAA
This 1774-nucleotide long non-coding RNA is filed under the name Sus scrofa (pig). Its description in RNAcentral is "lncRNA (ENSSSCG00015042388.1)". The record is from RNAcentral. Lineage: Eukaryota; Metazoa; Chordata; Mammalia; Artiodactyla; Suidae.